AAAAAGAUAAGCUAAUUAAGCUCUUGGGCUCAUACCUCAUUCAUAAAGGUUUUAAUCCUUUUCUUUUUA
This 69-nucleotide transfer RNA is filed under the name Milichus apicalis. RNAcentral describes it as "tRNA-Met". It matches the Rfam family "tRNA". From Rfam's summary of the family: Transfer RNA (tRNA) molecules are approximately 80 nucleotides in length. Their secondary structure includes four short double-helical elements and three loops (D, anti-codon, and T loops). Lineage: Eukaryota; Metazoa; Arthropoda; Insecta; Coleoptera; Scarabaeidae. The record is from RNAcentral.